Molecule: ribosomal RNA, 410 nt
Filed under: uncultured microorganism
Description: bacterial SSU rRNA
Rfam family: Bacterial small subunit ribosomal RNA
Source: RNAcentral
CAGCCGCCACGGUAAUACGUAGGGUGCGAGCGUUAAUCGGAUUUACUGGGCGUAAAGCGUGCGCAGGCGGCCCGUUAAGACAGGUGUGAAAUCCCUGGGCUCAACCUAGGAAUUGCGCUUGUGACUGGCGGGCUCGAGUACGGUAGAGGGGGGUGGAAUUCCUGGUGUAGCAGUGAAAUGCGUAGAGAUCAGGAGGAACACCGAUGGCGAAGGCAGCCCCCUGGGCCUGUACUGACGCUCAUGCACGAAAGCGUGGGGAGCAAACAGGAUUAGAUACCCUGGUAGUCCACGCCCUAAACGAUGGGUACUAGCCGUUUGGUGCGCGAUAGCGCUGAGUGGCGAAGCUAACGCGUGAAGUACCCCGCCUGGGGAGUACGGCCGCAAGGUUGAAACUUAAAGGAAUUGGCGGG